This 253-nucleotide ribosomal RNA is filed under the name uncultured bacterium. RNAcentral's name for it is "partial 16S ribosomal RNA". It matches the Rfam family "Bacterial small subunit ribosomal RNA", at positions 524 to 776 of the family's 1533-position model. The record is from RNAcentral.
UACGAAGGGGGCUAGCGUUGCUCGGAAUCACUGGGCGUAAAGGGUGCGUAGGCGGGUCUUUAAGUCAGGGGUGAAAUCCUGGAGCUCAACUCCAGAACUGCCUUUGAUACUGAGGAUCUUGAGUUCGGGAGAGGUGAGUGGAACUGCGAGUGUAGAGGUGAAGUUCGUAGAUAUUCGCAAGAACACCAGUGGCGAAGGCGGCUCACUGGCCCGAUACUGACGCUGAGGCACGAAAGCGUGGGGAGCAAACAGG